This 421-nucleotide long non-coding RNA is filed under the name Trifolium pratense (red clover). Its description in RNAcentral is "long non-coding RNA (TPRA_LNC012861)". The record is from RNAcentral. Lineage: Eukaryota; Viridiplantae; Streptophyta; Magnoliopsida; Fabales; Fabaceae.
AAGGGACCAACUAACUAAAAUGAAAAAUUAAAUUAAAAGGGACCAACUAAUAUAUAAGAUUUAUAUAACCACAAAAUAUUCAUGACUAUUGAAAUUCUUUCAAUACUAAUAAAAAAAAACGUGUGUCUCUUCAUUGCAUAGUUAAUUGGUUCCUAAAUGAAAAAUUUAAUUAAAAGGGACCAAUAUAACCACAAAAUAUAUUCUUUCAAUACUAAGAAAGAAAAAAAAAGUGUCUAAGACUAUUGGAAUUCUCUUCAUUUCAUAGUUAAUUGGUCCCUAAAUGACAAAUGAAAAAUUUAAUUAAAAGGGACCGACUAUCGAUAUCGAUUUAUACAUAUCCAUUAGAAUUAUCAAAAAUUGGAUGGAUUUUCAAAAGAAAUUGGAUGUGGCACUCUAUAAAAAAAGUUUACAAUCUCUAUUA